GACCUGGUAGCUCAGCAGGUAGAGCACCUGACUUUUAAUCAGGGGGUCGCGGGUUCGAAUCCCGCCCGGGUCACCA
Molecule: transfer RNA, 76 nt
Filed under: Fervidobacterium islandicum
Lineage: Bacteria; Thermotogati; Thermotogota; Thermotogae; Thermotogales; Fervidobacteriaceae
Also listed under: 15 other names
Description: tRNA-Lys
Rfam family: tRNA
About the family: Transfer RNA (tRNA) molecules are approximately 80 nucleotides in length. Their secondary structure includes four short double-helical elements and three loops (D, anti-codon, and T loops). Further hydrogen bonds mediate the characteristic L-shaped molecular structure. tRNAs have two regions of fundamental functional importance: the anti-codon, which is responsible for specific mRNA codon recognition, and the 3' end, to which the tRNAs corresponding amino acid is attached (by aminoacyl-tRNA synthetases). tRNAs cope with the degeneracy of the genetic code in two manners: having more than one tRNA (with a specific anti-codon) for a particular amino acid; and 'wobble' base-pairing, i.e. permitting non-standard base-pairing at the 3rd anti-codon position.
Source: RNAcentral